UUUCCGUAGGUGAACCUGCGGAAGGAUCAUUAUUGGAUUUUGAAACUUCAGGCUGCUGCUGGCUCUCCUCGGAGGGCAUGUGCACGCCUGUUGUCCAUUAUUUCUCCCACUGUGCACAAAUUGUAGACCUUUCAGUAGGCCUAUGUUGUUUUUCACAAUCUCUGAAUGUAAUAGAAUGGUUUUGAAUCUUGGGAAAUACAAUACAACUUUCAGCAACGGAUCUCUUGGCUCUC
Molecule: unclassified non-coding RNA, 233 nt
Filed under: plant metagenome
Description: partial contains small subunit ribosomal RNA, internal transcribed spacer 1, and 5.8S ribosomal RNA
Source: RNAcentral